This 381-nucleotide unclassified non-coding RNA is filed under the name Tragia boiviniana. RNAcentral describes it as "partial external transcribed spacer". The record is from RNAcentral. Lineage: Eukaryota; Viridiplantae; Streptophyta; Magnoliopsida; Malpighiales; Euphorbiaceae.
CAUGCUUACGCGUCGAACUGUGGAAUCGCGAUCUCUUCAGUCCGAGCCCAUGUCCUCUCUUUUGGGUCAUGGGCGAAGGUCGAGUUCCUGUGUUGCAAACCCACUAAAGUGGAAAACGGUUGCGUUGCGUUUUAUUUUUCGCCUCAUGCCCGUUAAGGGUGCUGUGGUGAACGUGGUUGCGCCUCUUCUGCUCCAAACAUGCUGGUCCAGCUGUUGUGGUGCACUAGAAAGGUUGCUCGUGCUUUGGGAUGCGGAAAACCUUAUGUAGCGGGAGGGAUCGCAUCCCUCCAUCGCUCAAAAACGUCCGUGAUAUUCGAACGACGCACAACGCUCGUCUCUCUCCCCUCGAACAUGCUAGAACUUUGGCUUGUCGGGGAUCGG